Beta vulgaris subsp. vulgaris (sugar beet) is the source of this 93-nucleotide non-coding RNA. NCBI's taxonomy places the organism in Eukaryota, Viridiplantae, Streptophyta, Magnoliopsida, Caryophyllales, Amaranthaceae. The record is from Rfam.
GAAGAGAUGGUUGAGUAGUUGAUAGCUCUGGUCUUGAAAACCGGCAUAGUCCUUUGGUCAGAGCUAUCGAGGGUUUGAAUCUAUUUCUCUCCU